UUUAAAAAAUCUGUUAACAUAGCCAUCUUCAUUAAUGAUCUUAGCUAGAUCUUUUAGACUUGCUACAUAGUCUCCAUCAGCACUUGCUGCUUCCGCUUGGACUUUUCUGAUACAGAGAGGGCUUCUUUCUAUAAACUUCUGCUAGCUUCAAACUUUUCUUCUGCAGCUGCUUCUCUUCUUUCAGCCUUCAUAGAAUUGAAGAGAGUUAGGACCUUGCUCUGGAUUAGGGUUUGGCUUAAGGGAAUAUUGUGACUGAUCUAUCCAUACCACU
Molecule: long non-coding RNA, 271 nt
Organism: Leopardus geoffroyi (Geoffroy's cat)
Lineage: Eukaryota; Metazoa; Chordata; Mammalia; Carnivora; Felidae
Exons: 3
Source: RefSeq, a predicted model, not a curated record